UACGUAGGGUGCAAGCGUUAAUCGGAAUUACUGGGCGUAAAGCGUGCGCAGGCGGUUUCGUAAGUCUGUCGUGAAAUCCCCGGGCUUAACCUGGGAAUGGCGAUGGAGACUGCGAGGCUAGAGUUUGGCAGAGGGGGGUAGAAUUCCACGUGUAGCAGUGAAAUGCGUAGAUAUCAAGAGGAACACCAGUGGCGAAGGCGAGUCCCUGGACGAUACCUGACACUGAGGCACGAAAGCUAGGGGAGCAAACAGG
This 253-nucleotide ribosomal RNA is filed under the name uncultured prokaryote. RNAcentral's name for it is "partial 16S ribosomal RNA". It matches the Rfam family "Bacterial small subunit ribosomal RNA", at positions 524 to 776 of the family's 1533-position model. The record is from RNAcentral.